UGGGCAACCUGCCCCUCUCUCUGGGAUAACCCCGGGGAAACCGGAGCUAAUACCGGAUACUCCGGCUGGAUCGCAUGGUCCGGCCGGGAAAGGUCCGCCGGAGAGGGAUGGGCCCGCGGCCUAUCAGCUAGUUGGUGAGGUAACGGCUCACCAAGGCGACGACGGGUAGCUGGUCUGAGAGGAUGGCGAGCCCACAUUGGAACUGAGACACGGUCCAGACCUCCGUACGGGAGGCA
RNAcentral lists this ribosomal RNA (236 nucleotides) under uncultured bacterium. RNAcentral's name for it is "partial 16S ribosomal RNA". It matches the Rfam family "Bacterial small subunit ribosomal RNA", at positions 118 to 350 of the family's 1533-position model. The record is from RNAcentral.